UGGGGAAUAUUGGACAAUGGGCGAAAGCCUGAUCCAGCCAUGCCGCGUGUGUGAAGAAGGUCUUCGGAUUGUAAAGCACUUUAAGUUGGGAGGAAGGGCAUUUACCUAAUACGUAAGUGUUUUGACGUUACCGACAGAAUAAGCACCGGCUAACUCUGUGCCAGCAGCCGCGGUAAAUA
This 179-nucleotide ribosomal RNA is filed under the name uncultured bacterium. RNAcentral describes it as "partial 16S ribosomal RNA". It matches the Rfam family "Bacterial small subunit ribosomal RNA", at positions 355 to 525 of the family's 1533-position model. The record is from RNAcentral.